AGAAAAACUUGUAACUUCAGUUAAAAAACAAUAUCAUCGCUCCAUCAAAACUCAGAAGAUGCAUUGCUUCAGACGGUGGUCAAAGUCACACUCAUAAGCCAUAGCUUCUUCUUCUUCUUUCCUUUUCCAUUGAUGGCUUCUUCAAGAAAUCACCCCAAUGGGUUAAAGAUCACAGUCGCUGUCAUGUUUCUCAUCUUUUUUCUCACAUUCUUUCCUUCCAUUUCAGCUGAGUCAAUGUUGAAGAGAGCUGGUGAUCAACGGUUAAAAAAUCAAAUGAAGAUGGUGCUGGGAUCGAGUCCGCCGCGGUGCGUGAACAAAUGCAUGAGUUGCAGGCCUUGUACGGCCACUCUCGUUGCUUCUUCGCACCACAAGAGUAGUAAACUCAAGGCAGCAACUUACCAGGGAGAUGAGAGCUAUUAUCUCCUCUCAUGGAAAUGCAGAUGUAGGAACAAGUUGUACCAACCUUGAAUAUAUUGGAUUUUAGUUUUAAUGUAACGAUGUUUCUGCAAGCAGCUUGUAGCUUAAGUGAUUAAGAGCAUUUACCUGUGUCGGAGAUUCGGAGGUCAUGUGAUCGUCUGACUCAGAUUCUGCUUUUGCCGGAUACGGCUUGUAUUCUAAAUAAUCAAGUUUACGCUUCCGAUGUA
This is a long non-coding RNA of Malus domestica (apple), 644 nucleotides long. RefSeq lists it as uncharacterized. The record is from RefSeq and is a predicted model, not a curated record. NCBI's taxonomy places the organism in Eukaryota, Viridiplantae, Streptophyta, Magnoliopsida, Rosales, Rosaceae.